This 253-nucleotide ribosomal RNA is filed under the name uncultured bacterium. RNAcentral describes it as "partial 16S ribosomal RNA". It matches the Rfam family "Bacterial small subunit ribosomal RNA", at positions 524 to 776 of the family's 1533-position model. The record is from RNAcentral.
UACGUAGGGGGCGAGCGUUGUCCGGAUUUAUUGGGCGUAAAGAGCGUGUAGGCGGCCAGGUAGGUCUGCUGUGAAAACUCGAGGCUCAACCUCGAGACGUCGGCGGAAACCAUCUGGCUAGAGUCCGGAAGAGGAGAGUGGAAUUCCUGGUGUAGCGGUGAAAUGCGCAGAUAUCAGGAAGAACACCAACGGCGAAGGCAGCUCGCUGGGACGGAACUGACGCUAAGGCGCGAAAGCGUGGGGAGCGAACAGG